UUCUGGCUCAGGAUGAACGCUGGCGGCGUGCCUAACACAUGCAAGUCGAGCGAUUCUCUUCGGAGAAGAGCGGCGGACGGGUGAGUAACGCGUGGGUAACCUGCCUCAUACACAUGGAUAACAUACCGAAAGGUAUGCUAAUACAGGAUAACAUAAGAGAUUCACAUGGAUUUCUUAUCAAAGCUCCGGCGGUAUGAGAUGGACCCGCGUCUGAUUAGCUAGUUGGUAAGGUAACGGCUUACCAAGGCGACGAUCAGUAGCCGACCUGAGAGGGUGAUCGGCCACAUUGGAACUGAGACACGGUCCAAACUCCUACGGGAGGCAGCAGUGGGGAAUAUUGCACAAUGGGCGAAAGCCUGAUGCAAGCAACGCCGCGUGAGUGAUGAAGGCCUUCGGGUCGUAAAACUCUGUCCUCAAGGAAGAUAAUGACGGUACUUGAGGAGGAAGCCCCGGCUAACUACGUGCCAGCAGCAGC
Molecule: ribosomal RNA, 475 nt
Filed under: uncultured bacterium
Lineage: Bacteria
Description: bacterial SSU rRNA
Rfam family: Bacterial small subunit ribosomal RNA
Source: RNAcentral